UCCCUGGUGGCUCAGAGGGUAAAGCAUCUGCCUGCAAUGCGGGAGACCUGGGUUCAAUUCCUGGUUUGGGAA
Molecule: transfer RNA, 72 nt
Filed under: Ovis aries (sheep)
Lineage: Eukaryota; Metazoa; Chordata; Mammalia; Artiodactyla; Bovidae
Rfam family: tRNA
About the family: Transfer RNA (tRNA) molecules are approximately 80 nucleotides in length.
Source: Rfam by way of RNAcentral